Molecule: non-coding RNA, 23 nt
Filed under: Arabidopsis thaliana (thale cress)
Lineage: Eukaryota; Viridiplantae; Streptophyta; Magnoliopsida; Brassicales; Brassicaceae
Source: RNAcentral
AAAGAUUUACAAGGGAUUUUAAA